This 187-nucleotide small nucleolar RNA is filed under the name Penicillium griseofulvum. The record is from RNAcentral. Lineage: Eukaryota; Fungi; Ascomycota; Eurotiomycetes; Eurotiales; Aspergillaceae.
AUGUCUCUUGCCUCGCUCGGUCUGCCGUUUCCCCUCGGCUAAUCUUGAGCUGGAUGCAGCCGGUCACUUUCUAAGUGCUGGCUGUAUGAGACAAGAAGAAGCGUGAAAGCGCGUCGACGAUCUUUGAGUACGAUUUGAUCCGAAAUGCACCACGGGUCUACGUCGUAAUUUAUCAGUUGGGACAAUU